RNAcentral lists this ribosomal RNA (253 nucleotides) under uncultured bacterium. RNAcentral describes it as "partial 16S ribosomal RNA". It matches the Rfam family "Bacterial small subunit ribosomal RNA", at positions 524 to 776 of the family's 1533-position model. The record is from RNAcentral.
UACGUAGGGUGCAAGCGUUGUCCGGAAUUAUUGGGCGUAAAGAGCUCGUAGGCGGCUAGUCGCGUCGGCUGUGAAAACCUGGGGCUCAACCCCGGGCCUGCAGACGAUACGGGCUAGCUAGAAUUCGGUAGGGGAGACUGGAAUUCCUGGUGUAGCGGUGAAAUGCGCAGAUAUCAGGAGGAACACCGGUGGCGAAGGCGGGUCUCUGGGCCGAUACUGACACUGAGGAGCGAAAGCGUGGGGAGCGAACAGG